Regulatory RNA element from Cellulosimicrobium sp., 103 nucleotides. It matches the Rfam family "SAM riboswitch aptamer (S box leader)". Rfam says of the family: The SAM riboswitch is found upstream of a number of genes which code for proteins involved in methionine or cysteine biosynthesis in Gram-positive bacteria. The SAM riboswitch acts at the level of transcription termination control. The predicted structure consists of a complex stem-loop region followed by a single stem loop terminator region. The record is from Rfam. Lineage: Bacteria; Bacillati; Actinomycetota; Actinomycetes; Micrococcales; Promicromonosporaceae.
CCACCAUCCAGAGCGGUCGAGAGUCCUGGCUCGACGACACCGCAGCAACCCGCCGACGGAAGCCUCCCGAGGACAAAGGUGCUAACGCCAGGGUCGAUGGAGU